This 348-nucleotide ribosomal RNA is filed under the name uncultured bacterium. RNAcentral's name for it is "bacterial SSU rRNA". It matches the Rfam family "Bacterial small subunit ribosomal RNA", at positions 335 to 666 of the family's 1533-position model. The record is from RNAcentral.
ACUCCUACGGGAGGCAGCAGUGGGGGAAUAUUGCACAAUGGGGGGAAAACCCCUGAUGCAGCCAUGCCGCGUGUGUGAAGAAGGCCUUCGGGUUGUAAAGCACUUUCAGUAGGGAGGAAGGUAGUGUAGUUAACACCUGCACUAUUUGUACGUUACCUACAGAAGAAGCACCGGCUAACUCCGUGCCAGCAGCCGCGGUAAUACGGAGGGUGCGAGCGUUAAUCGGAAUUACGUGGGCGUAAAGCGCAUGCAGGCGGCCUGUUAAGUCAGAUGUGAAAGCCCGGGGUCUUAACCGUCGGUAAUUGCAUUUGAAACUGGCAGGCUAGAGUCUUGUAGAGGGGGUUAGAA